This is a long non-coding RNA of Oncorhynchus gorbuscha (pink salmon), 1692 nucleotides long. RefSeq lists it as uncharacterized. The transcript is spliced from 3 exons. The record is from RefSeq and is a predicted model, not a curated record. NCBI's taxonomy places the organism in Eukaryota, Metazoa, Chordata, Actinopteri, Salmoniformes, Salmonidae.
AGUAGAUGUCCUAACCGACUUGCCAAAACUAUAGUUUGUUAACAAGAAAUGUGUGGAGUGGUUGAAAAACAAGUUUUAAUGACUCCAACCUAAGUGUAUGUAAACUUCUGACUUCAACUGUAUCUACAUGACAGGUCAAUUGGAGACUCCUUGCAGAGGUCCAUUAUUCUGUAUAAGCUGUAAGUUAAGUAUAGAGACAACGUAUUUACACAUUCAAAACGGUAUUCUGGUGCACAUAAUUUUCCUGUACAUACAUGACCAGGUAUUUAGUAAGAAAUUACAUGGUAAAAUGGUAAUUACACAGUAAUUAUAUUCAACCUUGUUUGGGGGGGGGGUUACCAUUAAGUACCAGGAAGUAUUAGCUAUUAUUACCACAUAGUUCCCUAGUCAUUUUCAGGUGCUCAAAGUGCUACCAGAUAUCCAAUGGCAUAUCCACCACAACGUCAGCUGCUGUUAAGCAAUAUCUGACACAAUCAGUGUCGAUACCGGUGUUAUUAUUGUCAUGAAUAUAAAUAUGUUGGUCAGUUCUGUCCUAAAGCUAAAGACAUAUUUCAUGGCGUACAUGUGCGGAUAUGUUGCACUGAUGCACUUUCUUAUUUGAGAUUUGUGCACUUCGUGUUCAGUGGAUGAGAUGUAUGACUUUUGACCUUUUGAACUGUCGACUGAUGCCAUCGGGGUAGGCCUUGGCAUGUUCCAUCAGCUUGCCGAUUAUGGCCGUCCCAUUUCCCAGUGGUAAAAUGAGGAGCUUCCUCUUCAACUCUGACUUGGAUAUUCACCUGAGGCCUUGGAUAAAGCUCUAUCAGUCCAUGCGGGCGCGUUCAAAUCCCAGAAGGGGCCAUAUAGCACUGAACCUCAUGAAACCCCUCUGCGCCGGUUAGUGUGGGGACCCAGGCCUCUCCGUCAACACCUCGUGGAGGCUGGAUGCAGUACCAGGUAGUCUGUGUAAUGUGUUCGUUCAUGGGCAUCGCCAGUAACUACUACCUAACCAACAUGUCUUGUCUGGAGGGCCUAUUCACAAUGUGUCAUAUAUAUAUAUUGUGUACAAAAUGCAAUAGACUGACUAGGUGAAUGCAGGUGAAGCGAUCAUAUCCCUUAUUGAUAUAACUUGUUAAUACAAAUCAAUUUCAAAUCAGUGAAGAUGAAGGAGACGGGUUACCGAAGGAUUUUUAAGCUUUGAGACAAUUGAGACAUGGAUUGUGUAUGUGUGCCAUUCUGAGUCCCAUCCACCAUCACCACACAUAUCUGGACACACGCUGACUCACAAACACAAACGUGGUGACGUCACUCCGAAGACGCUGUGGAAUGAUAAGCAUUUAUUUACAGAUUUGCAUAAAAAGACAGCAGGGAGAAAAGGCUACGGAACCAAAAGGUGGCAUCAAAGGUUCAAAAGUGGUUUUUGCAAUAUAAAAAUAUAUGUUUACAUCUGAAAAAUAGGAUGCUGCACCUUCAAGACAAUUGUUCCAAACGAGAUAUCAACCUGGCUGAUACAGUAAACUGUAUUUUUGUAGCCUUCUUUUUGCAAACUAUCCCCGGUAAACCAGCAUAUUGCUAGUAUGUCCACUAUUGAAGGUUUACCUUUGUAAAUCACUAUCCCUAAAAUAAAUAAGUUCAGAGAGUAGAUCGAGUCUUUUUUUCUUUUUUUUUUGCUCAGGAAAAUGGUUGUCAACGUAAAUGUUGAACUGGAACUCAAGU